CACAGCAACACUUGGUGUGUGGCAAGUUUCUGCAAAUCAUUAAUUAUUAUAAAUCAGCAAGGGGUGCUGCUGCUUUCCUUCUAACCCCAGGAGCAGGCACACGCACAGGGUGGGUUUAAGAAAAAUAACAUGGCAACGUUUCCCUUCCGUGAGAUUUAAUGCUUCCUUGCUCCCAGCGCUUCAGCCACUCGUUGCCCCUUCCCUGCUGGGAUUUGUGGUUUGCAUUCAGACCGGCCCGUUCUGCGGAUUGAGUUUAGCACCCAGCCGUAAAACCACCCAGCUGGUGGGCACUGCUAUCGGGAACAGAGAAAGGGAAAGAGCGGAGGUGUGCUGGGAGCUUCUCACAGGAGAUGUGUCACCGCUGGAAACACGGUGCGGGAUCAGCCCGAGGGCUGCAAAUCAAAAUCAACACAAGGCUUCGGGUCCCUGGGAAGUCACAGGUUCAAAUUUGGGGGAUUAACAACAGAUGAUUACUUUGAUGAUGGUGAGGAAAACAACAUGACGGCCAAAGACAUGCUGAACUACCCAGCCAGCCAUUUAUCCUGGAUCUAUGAUCCACCUACAUGUUAACUUCAGCAAAAGCACAACGCUGCUCAAGCUGUGAUACAGCCUUAUCAGAAAGAAAUGCUUAAACACAGACCUCCUUCUUAAAACCUUUCCACUGGACAUCUUUUUGCCAUUAUAGCACCUCUAAAAGUGAAGCCUGGGUGACAACUGAUGCAGUGAUUGACCCCCCAGUUACAAUAUGCUACACCUAACAGUACUGGCAGCAUGCACUACCGACCUCCAUGGGAAACAAGUUCUGAUGUGCUGGGUUUAUGUCUCAUGUGCCUGACUAAUAUCAGCUAAUCCCCAAGCCCCCACACCAGGAGUUUAAUAAAAUACUGAGAAGUGGCAACUACGCACCAAAUACGCACAUAAGCUCUGUGCUACUCAGAAAUUAGUCUAAUUAGCUUGCACAUAAAACCCAAACUCUCUUCAUCAUAGUAUGUCUCCAUGUUAAUGUGUCUUUUUAGCUUAAAGACAAUCUCAAGAUUGUCGUAGCUGAGGUUCUACUUCUCUUGCAAUCACACACGUCCCAUUGGACUGACUGCCUGAAACCACAGCACCUGCCCCAUAAUCUCCGGAGCCAGCACUCACGUAAUGCCAGGAAUCACCUGGAUCUUCGCUCUAUUAAUAGAGACCCUGCCUUGCACAUGGUGACAGGGGCUCAGGCAGCACCCCUGGAUCACGUAACACCACGUGUGCUUCCUCUGCCAGGAGCGUGCUGUGCAGGCACCUGGACUGCUGCUUCUCCUCCUUCUGCUGCAUCAAGUACGAGCCAAAAAUUGCAGCAUCCAAGGAUCCCGCACCAGAUGUCAGCACCCACUGCUUUUACGGUGAGGAUAACUAAGUCAUCAACUGUCUCUUGCAGGAAGAGUAAGAAGACUUGGCCCUUUUCUGCAGUAAUUACGCUGUUGGUACAUAAACACAGAUUAAAGGAAGCAAACUGGCUGCUGUUUUUAACUCCAGGUGAUGAUCCCUCAUACAAAACACAAUCAAACUGUCAGUUCAUUCAGAUCCCAGUCACAGCAUUCAUCACAGUCAUGGUUUUGUACAGAUGACAACUCCACACAUUCAUUUUAACUUGCCUAAACAGAACAUGCUUUAAAAACCUAUUUGCUUACAGGCUAAUUUUUGAGCUUCCAAUGAUCUCAAUCUUACCAAUCCAACUUCCACAUUUAAAUAGUUACCUUACCUAAGCUCUUGUCAGCAGCUGCUACCAUAUCGCCAACCUGCAUGACGAGCAGACAGUUCCUAAGUUCUCCAGGCCCCUACUCAUUAUAGCAACUGCUUCUUUCUCCUUUACACAGCACUCACAGAGCACUUGCUAAUCACAACAGUGCACAUUCUACCAUGAAAUACUUCGUAUGCUUAUAAGACCUGUAUUGAAAAAAAAAAACAACAACAAGAACAAAACCCAAACUACACACAAGUACAUGGGUAGGUUCUUCCAUUCCUACAUGGGAAGAUCCGUCACAGCGCAAGCACAUGGGCUGCAUAGCUGCACAGUCAGAUCACAUCCUUAUAAUAAAGGACUACAACUUCUGUCCCCUUUCUACUGGAUGAAAUGUGAGGAAUUCUCCUGGCACGCCCCAGUGACAAAUGCCUGGAGUGCCAGGAGGAAUCUCAGCAGUAUCGGUCUGUGAGCUACCAGCCACCAUCUCUUCUUAGGCAUGGAAAGCUACGAGGCAUUCUUGGUGUUAGUAGUUAGCUCCAAGUCAACUCCUCUCAAAUCCAAAGAAAGGGGCAGACCUCUGCAGCCACAAAGCAUACGUGGUUUUUGCUACAGAGGCCACAUAUUUCUCCACUGACGUCCCAAGCACUACAUCCUGUUCAGCUAAACUGGAAAGUCACUUGAGAUGUCACUGAAGUAAAGCACCAAACCAUUACUUCUUCAAGACAGUGAUGCAGAAUUUAUUCAUAGCUUUGUCAAAACAUUUCCCUUGAAAUGUCUUCUUAAUAAACUGAUUUAAAAACUAACAACUGAUAUUAAGACCUGCACUCUCCUGUAAUCUACCAAGAACAUUAUGAGUUGUAAGGCAGCGCUGAACCAAGAACAGAAAAUAUGUUUGAUUCCAAAGACUAGGGCAAGUCAGAUUGCUGAAUCCAAGUGAGAAUCACUAGCUAGGCAUCUCAGCCAAAACUGUGCAAAUGUGCUCACCUCAUUUCUGACAUGGGUAUCUCCUUCCAUAGUGCAGAAAUAAUAUUACUGGCAGUUUAAUUUUCUGAAUUAUCCAACUCAUUAAAGAAAUUAAAUGGAAAGUGACAAAACAGGAGAGCUUUUAUUUUUCUUCUGAGUUCUGAGCUAAAAAAGAAAGGGUAAGAAGAUGAGAUCUAAGAAGAACAGAAAACUCCACCAGCUCGCUAAGUCAAAUAACACUUUCCUUGAUUCCUAAUUUGAUUUUAAUUGGAAAAUAAACAAACAAAACAAAAAGCAAUACUCAUCAGGUAGUUCAAUAAUACAAUUAAGCGAGGCCUUCCUAGCAUAUUUUGAACUGAAUUUGAAUUUCCAUCCAUGCAGAAUUUGACAAAGAUCAUACAGAAUAGUACUCCCCUGAACCUCCAGCCAUACACCAGCAAAACAAUCCAAACUGGACAUCUGACAUCUAUGUGUCACAUUUUUCCACGCAGUGUACAGGCUCCUAUGAGAGCCAAAGCUGAUGUAGCCAGCAGAAGCAGUAGGGCUGAGGGAGCAAUUCGUCUGAGCAGCCAGAAGGUGUCUACUUCAGGGUGUGCUGAAUCACUCUCCAGGCUUGACUGUGCAAGUUAGCUGCAUCUUCAGUGGCCAUAAUGGGAGUUUAUAAGUGCCCACAUUGUACGUCAACACCCACACAGAGAGGCCUAAAUUUAGGUGUUUGUGUUCUGCCUCUAGUAAAUGAAAAGUGCAUUAGUUGCUACUUUCUAAUGCACAAAAAUUAACACGCUGAAUAACUGUAGCUUGGAAAAAAAUCUUUGGAAGCGUGACUUGGCUUCCAGAAUGGAAUGAUAAAUUCAACAUGAAAGGAACAUU
This is a long non-coding RNA of Anas platyrhynchos (mallard), 3553 nucleotides long. RefSeq lists it as uncharacterized. NCBI's taxonomy places the organism in Eukaryota, Metazoa, Chordata, Aves, Anseriformes, Anatidae. The record is from RefSeq and is a predicted model, not a curated record.